GACGAACGCUGGCGGCGUGCCUAAUACAUGCAAGUUGAGCGCUGAAGGUUGGUACUUGUACCAACUGGAUGAGCAGCGAACGGGUGAGUAACGCGUGGGGAAUCUGCCUUUGAGCGGGGGACAACAUUUGGAAACGAAUGCUAAUACCGCAUAAAAACUUUAAACACAAGUUUUAAGUUUGAAAGAUGCAAUUGCAUCACUCAAAGAUGAUCCCGCGUUGUAUUAGCUAGUUGGUGAGGUAAAGGCUCACCAAGGCGAUGAUACAUAGCCGACCUGAGAGGGUGAUCGGCCACAUUGGGACUGAGACACGGCCCAAACUCCUACGGGAGGCAGCAGUAGGGAAUCGUCGGCAAUGGACGAAAGUCUGACCGAGCAACGCCGAGUGAGUGAAGAAGGUUUUCGGAUCGUAAAAAUCUGUUGGUAGAGAAGAACGUUGGUGAGAGUGGAAAGCGCAUCAAGUGACGGUAACUACCCAGAAAGGGACGGCUAACUACGUG
Molecule: ribosomal RNA, 497 nt
Filed under: uncultured bacterium
Lineage: Bacteria
Description: partial 16S ribosomal RNA
Rfam family: Bacterial small subunit ribosomal RNA
Source: RNAcentral